AGGCGGGUAACUCAGUGGCCAGAGUACCGAUGAGCAGUUUGCUCCAUUUCCUCUUUUUCACAUACUAGGCGGAGGCCUAGGGCGCACUUCCUUCCCUUUCGGCUACGAACCGGGUUGUUGUUGGUUCGAAUCCAACCUCGCCGA
Molecule: transfer RNA, 144 nt
Filed under: Acanthopleuribacter pedis
Lineage: Bacteria; Pseudomonadati; Acidobacteriota; Holophagae; Acanthopleuribacterales; Acanthopleuribacteraceae
Description: tRNA-Xxx
Source: RNAcentral